Arvicanthis niloticus (Nile rat) is the source of this 3130-nucleotide non-coding RNA. NCBI's taxonomy places the organism in Eukaryota, Metazoa, Chordata, Mammalia, Rodentia, Muridae. The record is from RefSeq and is a predicted model, not a curated record.
GCUUGUACCUGUUUGGUGGAGAGCCUAGAGAACGGUGGAGAUAAAAAAUUGAUGAAAUCCGCCACAGCUGGCUGGGAGUGAACCUGGAUCAUCGGGAGGAUCCCCCCACCCCAGGAAAGUUAGCACCUGUCAUGUGUAUCAGAAGACCCCCGCGGCCUCACACACAGGCACCGGCCUUUUCUUGACAACGUCCCCAGGUGACUCCUAAAACUCAAGGACCAUGUCCAGCUCAGGUCAGUACAACAGUUUGGGUGUUUAUGGAACUCAGGGCCACUGACCCCAACCCUCCUGGAUACUGCCGUGGGUCCAUGGAGCCAUGUGGGCCUGGAGGUUUGCAUAUGCUGUGUCUUGGCUGGGAAGACUUAACUCCUGCCUGCCUCUUUAAGGGACUGUAGGAUGUCCAAGCAUAUCCAGGUGCCCCUGGGAAGCUAGACUGAGCCCUCUGUCGGCCCCAACCUUCAAGAAGGAGAUGGGAGAAGAAUAAGAUGCCCUGGGACAUUUGUGUCACCUACAGUAUCACUCAGGGCUCAGCCUCUGCCAUGAAUACCUUGCAGUUAUGACAGGGGACCUGUGUACUUCGGAUUUCUUGUGCUCAGAGGUGGUAGCCAGCCUGGGCACUAUGCUCACACUUGUCCCUGUCCCUUGGAGGCAGACCCCAAGUAUAGCUUUGGACCCACCUAAAUGAAUCAUGGUCAAGGGCAGCCUCGCCUGCCAGACUGCAGGCAGGGCUUCCACACCAUCUCGUAUAAGCCAGAGCAACCUGUAUUUGGUCCCUGGACCCCUCUGCUACCCGUGCAUUGGUGUGUGUGGGCUGCUGCACACAUUCCCCUUGUUUUUGUGUCUGCAGCUGGGGUGAGUGCCUGAGAGUAGGGCAAACACAGACAGCUAGGGAAGAGGCUCCAGGACUUGGCAGAUGGGACAGCACAGAAGAGGAGAGUACAGGCAUAGAUGGACUGGGCAGAGCAUCUGGACAUACUCCAAGAGUGUAGUUGGCCCAGGUAGCACUAGGGACCUAAUAGCCCUUGGCCAAGGAGCUCUGGUUUACAGAUCCUGGGCUUUCUUGGGUACCUACCCUAAGGAAGACCUGCAUGUGGUACCUCCAUCCUCAGCCACAGGCAGCCAGCCUCCAGUAUAUACAAUCCCUUUAGUGUCCCAUGGGUGCAGAUGGACCUCUAGAGUCCAGUGGUGCACCUUUUACAAGGGCUCGGGCUAGGAAUGUUCCCCUGGGUCUCUGAGUCCUGAUUGCUAGUAUGUGUUGGAGGUGGGAGUCCCAGAGGGGUCCUGGGUCAAGACAUAUGAGGGAGGGUCUAGAAAAGAAAAGGAUGGGCUGCCUGGUGGUAAAGUGGCCAGUUCUGGUCUAUGAUGCAGCCUCUACUUAGUACCAUGCAAGCAAGAUGAGGCUGGGUGUAUACUGUAGGUGCUUACUUGGUGCUAGUGUUAGUUUCAGGGACCCCCAUCCCCAUAAACAAAAUCCUCCUUUUCAGGGGCUUCUGGGUAGAAAGAAACAGUCCCAUCUCACCUGUGGCCUGGAGACACUGGGCCAUGAAGUCUCUGAGACACAGGCUUAGACUAGGGAGCCUUGGAAAGUUUGGGUCUCUAGUAUUCAGUUGGCAAAGUUGGGAUUGCACCCCUUGAAUGUGCCAGACUGGAUCUGGGCCUGGGAGGUCUGAGCAUAGGCAAGCCCAUGGCCUGGCAUCCUACCCAUGCUUCUGUAGCUACCCAUGAAGCUCGCCAUGCUCAAUGUUUGCCCAGUAAGUAGCCAGCCGCAGGAGACCAGCCUGGCAACUGGUAGCCACAUGGCUUUCCUUAGUUUCUGAGGAUGGCUGGGUUUCUAAAAGAACUUGCUUGUCCCAUAGGUUCCCUAUCUAGAAGGGGGAACUAAAAUUUGUAGGCAGUGGACCUGACCACCAAGGCAGAGAAGCACACUGGAUUAUAUAUGGGGUUUCCAGAUUCCCAAGGUCUGGCACCCCUAGCCUAGAGACCAGGCUAGUGGACUCCCUGGGGUGGGAAAGGACACAGAUUCAUCUGAUUGCCAGAUACUCUUACAUGUUUUUAGAUAAGUUAUCUAGCCUAGGCUGAUCUUGAACUCUGUAUGUAGUUGAGGGUGACCUUGAACUCUCGAUCUUCUUGCCUUCACAUCAUGAGUACUUGGGUUACAAGUGUGAGCCACUGCACCCUGGGCAUCGAACACAGGGUCCAGUGCUUGCUAGGCAGGUACCACACCAUCUGACAUAUAGCUCUAGAUCUUAAACAUUUUUAAAAGAUAUUUUAGAAAUUGAUGUGUAUCAGUGUUUUGCAUUCAUGUGUGUCUGUAUGCCACAUUCAUACCUGGUGCUCACGGAGCCUAGGAGAAGGUAUUGGAUCUCUUGGAAUAGUGAGAGAUUGUUAUGAACCACGAUGUGGGUGCUGGGACUGGAACCAGGGUCCUCUGAAGGCAUGAUGAGUGUUUUUAACUACUGAGCCAUUGCUUCUACCCCAAGAUCUCUGUUUAGCCAUACAAAUACCUUGCAUUUAGUCGUUGGAGGAAGGUCCAGUGGCCCUCCAUGGUGUCGAGCUUCCUAGAGUUCUCUGAAAAACGUUGCGGUCUCUUGCAAUGCAACUGAGUCUUCUAUUCCCUCAUCCCCAAAGCAUGAAAACUCCCAUGAUGCUGUGUGGCUGGGAGUGGGGGUAGGGAGUAGAAUCAAACCUCAGCCUCUCCGUGCCUUCCCCUUUAGCCAAGGAUCACGCCCAUUGUCACAGGGGCAAAGUGAACCUGGAGGGCCAGCCUUACCAGUGCCAGGCACAUUCCAAGGACAGAGUGUCCACAUUGGCUAGGCCUCGUGACAAAGGCCUGGGACUUGGGAAGAUUGAAAAUUUUGAGGUCAGCACUUGGGAGGUAGAGGCAGGCAGAUCUCUGUGAGACUAGCCUGGUCUACAGAGGGACAUCCAGGAAAGCCAGGGCUACACAGAGAAACCCUGUCUUAAGAAAAAAGAAAGAAAAGAAAAAAGCUGGGCAGUGGUGGCACAUGCCUUUAAUCCCAGCACUUGGGAGGCAGAGGCAGGUGGAUUUCUGAGUUCGAGGCCAGCCUGGUCUACAGAGUGAAUUUCAGGACAGCCAGGACUACACAGAGAAACCCUGUCUCAAAAAGCC